RNAcentral lists this long non-coding RNA (432 nucleotides) under Medicago truncatula (barrel medic). Its description in RNAcentral is "lncRNA gene50433". The record is from RNAcentral. Lineage: Eukaryota; Viridiplantae; Streptophyta; Magnoliopsida; Fabales; Fabaceae.
CUUUCUUUGUCUUCCCCCAUUAACUGCAUCUUGUUCCUUUGUUGUCUUCCCCAACGGCUGAACAAGGUAGAGAGCGUUGGUGGCUCUGGUAACGCUCAAGAUGCCGGCCGACAGCUUUGACUUUGGAAAGUCGAACACGAAGCUUCAAAUUUAAACCGGCCAUUUUCCUAAAUGUCAAACCUCAAAAUCAGAUUUGUUCAUUUUCUAAUAGAUGUUGUUGACCCAAAAUUAAGUUUAAAUCUUUUCAAUUGGUUUUUCUUCUUAUGGAAUAAUUAAGUGAGAUAAAGUGAUAGUGGAGACUGGAGAGAGAAAUGGUGAAUGACUCCUAAUUCUUUGGCUGAAGAGGGUGUUGUUGUACCCAUGGCAGAGAUAACAAAUUCAAUCAUAAAUGGAUUUUUUUUUUCUUUAUACAAUUUAUUAUUAUUGAUAUAA